GCUAGUAAUCGUAGGUCAGCAUACUACGGUGAAUACGUUCCCGGGCCUUGUACACACCCGCCCGUCAAACCAUGAGAGUUGGCAACACCCGAAGUCGGUAGUCUAACCGCAAGGAGGACGCCGCCGAAGGUGGGGUUGAUGAUUAGGGUUAAGUCGUAACAAGGUAAC
RNAcentral lists this ribosomal RNA (168 nucleotides) under uncultured bacterium. Its description in RNAcentral is "partial 16S ribosomal RNA". It matches the Rfam family "Bacterial small subunit ribosomal RNA", at positions 1334 to 1500 of the family's 1533-position model. The record is from RNAcentral.